AGUGAACGCUGGCGGCAGGCCUAAUACAUGCAAGUCGAACGGCAGCACAGUGGAGCUUGCUCCAUGGGUGGCGAGUGGCGGACGGGUGAGGAAUACAUGGGAAUCUGCCCAGUCGUGGGGGAUAACGUAGGGAAACUUACGCUAAUACCGCAUGCGCCCUUCGGGGAAAGCCGGGACCGUAAGGCCUGGCGCGAUUGGAUGAGCCCAUGUCGGAUUAGCUAGUUGGCGGGGUAACGGCCCACCAAGGCGACGAUCCGUAGCUGGUCUGAGAGGAUGAUCAGCCACACUGGAACUGAGACACGGUCCAGACUCCUACGGGAGGCAGCAGUAGGGAAUAUUGGACAAUGGGCGCAAGCCUGAUCCAGCCAUGCCGCGUGAGUGAAGAAGGCCCUCGGGUUGUAAAGCUCUUUUGUCCGGAAAGAAAAGCACUGGGUUAAUACCCCGGUGUCCUGACGGUACCGGAAGAAUAAGCACCGGCUAACUUCGUGCCAGCAGCCG
RNAcentral lists this ribosomal RNA (498 nucleotides) under uncultured bacterium. RNAcentral describes it as "bacterial SSU rRNA". It matches the Rfam family "Bacterial small subunit ribosomal RNA", at positions 29 to 517 of the family's 1533-position model. The record is from RNAcentral.